Molecule: transfer RNA, 73 nt
Filed under: Capsicum annuum
Lineage: Eukaryota; Viridiplantae; Streptophyta; Magnoliopsida; Solanales; Solanaceae
Rfam family: tRNA
About the family: Transfer RNA (tRNA) molecules are approximately 80 nucleotides in length. Their secondary structure includes four short double-helical elements and three loops (D, anti-codon, and T loops).
Source: Rfam by way of RNAcentral
AGACUUAUAGUUUAAUUGGUUGAAAUAUACCACUUAUAACAGUGAUAUUGUAGGUUCGAGCCUACUAAGCCUA